CCUACGGGAGGCAGCAGUAGGGAAUCUUCGGCAAUGGACGGAAGUCUGACCGAGCAACGCCGCGUGAGUGAAGAAGGUUUUCGGAUCGUAAAGCUCUGUUGUAAGAGAAGAACGAGUGUGAGAGUGGAAAGUUCACACUGUGACGGUAUCUUACCAGAAAGGGACGGCUAACUACGUGCCAGCAGCCGCGGUAAUACGUAGGUCCCGAGCGUUGUCCGGAUUUAUUGGGCGUAAAGCGAGCGCAGGCGGUUAGAUAAGUCUGAAGUUAAAGGCUGUGGCUUAACCAUAGUACGCUUUGGAAACUGUUUAACUUGAGGGCAAGAGGGGAGAGUGGAAUUCCAUGUGUAGCGGUGAAAUGCGUAGAUAUAUGGAGGAACACCGGUGGCGAAAGCGGCUCUCUGGCUUGUAACUGACGCUGAGGCUCGAAAGCGUGGGGAGCAAACAGGAUUAGAUACCCCAGUAGUC
This 465-nucleotide ribosomal RNA is filed under the name uncultured Streptococcus sp. RNAcentral describes it as "bacterial SSU rRNA". It matches the Rfam family "Bacterial small subunit ribosomal RNA", at positions 338 to 795 of the family's 1533-position model. The record is from RNAcentral. Lineage: Bacteria; Bacillati; Bacillota; Bacilli; Lactobacillales; Streptococcaceae.